UGGGGAAUUUUGGACAAUGGGCGAAAGCCUGAUCCAGCCAUGCCGCGUGAGUGAAGAAGGCCUUCGGGUUGUAAAGCUCUUUUAGUCGGGAAGAAAGAGUUGCAAUGAGUAAUUGUGAUUUCUGACGGUACCGACAGAAAAAGCACCGGCUAACUAAGUGCCAGCAGCCGCGGUAAUACGUAGGGUGCGAGAGUUAAUCGGAAUUACUGGGCGUAAAGGGUGCGCAGGCGGUCUUGCAAGUCAGAUGUGAAAGCCCCGGGCUUAACCUGGGAAUUGCGUUGGAAACUACAAGACUAGAGUGCAGCAGAGGGGAGUGGAAUUCCAUGUGUAGCAGUGAAAUGCGUAGAGAUGUGGAAGAACACCGAUGGCGAAGGCAGCUCCCUGGGUUGACACUGACGCUCAUGCACGAAAGCGUGGGGAGCAAACA
Molecule: ribosomal RNA, 427 nt
Filed under: uncultured beta proteobacterium
Lineage: Bacteria; Pseudomonadati; Pseudomonadota; Betaproteobacteria
Description: bacterial SSU rRNA
Rfam family: Bacterial small subunit ribosomal RNA
Source: RNAcentral